AGUGAACGCCGGCGGCGUGCUUAACACAUGCAAGUCGAACGAGAACGGAUUAUAGCUUGCUAUAGUUGUCAGCUAAGUGGCGCACGGGUGAGUAAUGUAUAGGUAAUAUGCCUCUUACUAAGGGAUAACAAAUGGAAACGUUUGCUAAUACCUUAUACUCCUUAUUAACAGAAGUUAAUAAGGGAAAGAUUUAUUGUUAAGAGAUUAGCCUGUAUUGUAUCAGUUAGUUGGUGGGGUAAUGGCUUACCAAGACUAUGACACAUAACUGGUUUGAGAGGAUGAUCAGUCACACUGGAACUGAGACACGGGACAGACUCUUACGGGAGGCAGCAGUGGGGAAUAUUGCACAAUGGACGAAAGUCUGAUGCAGCAACGCCGCGUGGAGGAUGACACAUUUCGGUGCGUAAACUCCUUUUAUAUGAGAAGAUAAUGACGGUAUUAUAUGAAUAAGCACCGGCUAACUCCGUGCCAGCCGCCGCAGUAA
RNAcentral lists this ribosomal RNA (484 nucleotides) under uncultured bacterium. RNAcentral describes it as "partial 16S ribosomal RNA". It matches the Rfam family "Bacterial small subunit ribosomal RNA", at positions 29 to 523 of the family's 1533-position model. The record is from RNAcentral.